UAAAAGAACUCAUUUUUAGUACCGCCUGCUCAAUGAUAAUUAAAUAGCCGCAGACCCACUGUGCUAAGGUAGCAUAAUCAUUAGCCUAAUAAUUAUAGGAUAGAAUGAAAGGUAAAACACGUUUCCUUCUUUAUUUUAAGACUAUUUCAACUUAAACCUUAAGCAAAAAUCCUUAAAAAAUCAGGGGGACGACAAGACCCUGUCGAACUUAACUUUAAGUUUAGCUGGGGCGGCAUAAAAAAUACACCUUUUUUCAUAAAUCCCUAACAUCCCCAACAUAGGAACAAACAAGUUACCGCAGGGAUAACAGCAUAAUUUUUUCCCAAAGACCUUAUAAAAGAAAAAGAUUGUGACCUCGAUGUUGAAUUAAAUUCCUUCUAUGAAGCAGAACUCUAAAAAGGAAGUCUGUUCGACUUUUAAACAUUU
Molecule: ribosomal RNA, 426 nt
Filed under: Kwonkan sp. MYG458
Lineage: Eukaryota; Metazoa; Arthropoda; Arachnida; Araneae; Anamidae
Description: partial 16S ribosomal RNA
Rfam family: Archaeal large subunit ribosomal RNA
Source: RNAcentral